UACGGAGGAUGCGAGCGUUAUCCGGAUUUAUUGGGUUUAAAGGGUGCGUAGGCGGAAUAUCAAGUCAGCGGUAAAAAUUCGGGGCUCAACCCCGUCGUGCCGUUGAAACUGAUGUUCUUGAGUGGGCGAGAAGUAUGCGGAAUGCGAGGUGUAGCGGUGAAAUGCAUAGAUAUCACGCAGAACUCCGAUUGCGAAGGCAGCGUACCGGCGCCCAACUGACGCUGAAGCACGAAGGCGUGGGUAUCGAACAGG
RNAcentral lists this ribosomal RNA (252 nucleotides) under uncultured bacterium. RNAcentral's name for it is "partial 16S ribosomal RNA". It matches the Rfam family "Bacterial small subunit ribosomal RNA", at positions 524 to 776 of the family's 1533-position model. The record is from RNAcentral.